AUUGAACGCUGGCGGCAUGCCUUACACAUGCAAGUCGAACGGCAGCGGGGACUUCGGUCCGCCGGCGAGUGGCGAACGGGUGAGUAAAGUAUCGGAACGUACCUUUCAGUGGGGGAUAACGUAGCGAAAGUUACGCUAAUACCGCAUAUUCUGUGAGCAGGAAAGCAGGGGAUCGCAAGACCUUGCGCUGAUUGAGCGGCCGAUAUCAGAUUAGCUAGUUGGUGAGGUAAAGGCUCACCAAGGCGACGAUCUGUAGCGGGUCUGAGAGGAUGAUCCGCCACACUGGAACUGAGACACGGUCCAGACUCCUACGGGAGGCAGCAGUGGGGAAUUUUGGACAAUGGGGGCAACCCUGAUCCAGCCAUGCCGCGUGAGUGAAGAAGGCCUCGGUGUAAGACUCUUCGUCCGGACGAAGUACGUAUGGUUAAGUACCUACGUGCGGAGUGACGGUACCGG
This 456-nucleotide ribosomal RNA is filed under the name uncultured bacterium. RNAcentral describes it as "bacterial SSU rRNA". It matches the Rfam family "Bacterial small subunit ribosomal RNA", at positions 30 to 482 of the family's 1533-position model. The record is from RNAcentral.